Molecule: long non-coding RNA, 495 nt
Organism: Microplitis mediator
Lineage: Eukaryota; Metazoa; Arthropoda; Insecta; Hymenoptera; Braconidae
Exons: 3
Source: RefSeq, a predicted model, not a curated record
AGAAAAACAAGUUUGUUGCUGCGUAUGUUACAAUUAGAUGACCCCCAACGAGCAAGGAUCAACUACACAUCAACGCGAUCCUUUGCUGUCGACGACGCAAAUCUGUUUGCGAACACCAAUUUCGCGGAUUACAUCGGUUGGCACGGAAGAUCAAUAUCGCAUUGGAAGUGUAAGGUAUGCGAUAAACUUUUCAAGACAUGGGUAAUUCCUUCCCAUGUCUGGUUAUCCCACACCGAUGGAUCAUUCAAAUGCGAUGUAGAAGGAUGCGACUUCGUUUGCCAUGGCGUCUGUACAAUGAGAGACCACUACGCCACACAUUAACUGGUCAGUCCACUGAAGAACAAGCUGGCAUAAAUUCAACUGAGAGGUAUUCCCUCAAGCUCUGAGAUACUAAUGACCAGCCUAGUUCUUCCAUCCGUAUUGGGUCAACACAUUACGAAUCAUUCAAGCUCUGUGGAUUCAUUGACCAGGUAAAUUUUUUACUGUGGAAAUUAA